UGUCUUUGACUGUGAUGAGGACAGAACCCCAAGAGGGGAGCCACAGGAGCCCUACUCCAACAGAUGCACAAGAGCUUUUCUGUAGCUACUGACCAGGCCUGCAGCCCAGCAAGUUUAGCACCAUGCCCUGGAUGAGCAACAUCAUUCUGCUGCCUUCUGUUCGUUGUUGCUUGAUUAAUGUAUGCUUUUGAACGGCUUGAAUUAAAGAGUUAAACUAAUUGUUUAAGGAAACACUCUUGACUCAGUUCAGACGUUGUUGGAAGCCUGUCACUACGGAUCUUAUGGAGGGAAUGAGGAUCAUAAUGAGUAUUCCUGCAGAGCCAAGUACUUCUGAUCCUGUUGUCCGGGGGUUGUCUGCAUUUCUAUACACACGUGGAUGCAACUGGUCUAUUUGGAAAUGCCUCACAAAGAAUUCUUACCUAGAAUGGACAGAGACAAAAACAUCUGGACAAGCUUGAUUCGGGUCUCCAAGCAGAACAGCCAUACUCCUCAAAACACUUAAGGUAGGACUUGUUGAGUGGGAGCCAUAUUGGAUUAAAAUAUCUGACAGAUGUCAAGAAUGACCUAACGCCUGUAGGAUACUUGAUGAUCCAGAGAAGAAAAUAUGCACUAUCAGGGGGUUAAUGUACCCCUUGUUGAACUCUGAUCACAAGACAAAAUUAUUUUUCUCUCUCUGCUGAUAAUAAAAGUGCUUAGAUCUGAA
Numida meleagris (helmeted guineafowl) is the source of this 703-nucleotide long non-coding RNA. RefSeq lists it as uncharacterized. The transcript is spliced from 5 exons. The record is from RefSeq and is a predicted model, not a curated record. NCBI's taxonomy places the organism in Eukaryota, Metazoa, Chordata, Aves, Galliformes, Numididae.